UGAAAUAGACUUGAAAAUGUGUGUCGCCAGGUUCCAAAUAAGAAAAAAAUCAGCAUUUUUAUAUAGGGUCUUCACACAGUAAAAUUAUUUGUGCCCAAGUAAUAAUAGAUGAAUGCAUAUUAGGCUUCAAUGUUGCUUAUACUAUGACUACUGGUUCAUACGAUGCCAAUUUUAUAAAUAUCUAUGCCAAAUUUAAUGCAAUAGAAUUGAAAAUGUGAUUCGCCAGGUACCAAGUAAGAAAAAAAUCCGCAUUUUUAUGUAGGGUCUUCACACGGUAAAAUUAUUUGUUCCCAAAUAAUAAUAGAUGAAUACAUAUUAGGCUUCAAUGUUGCUUAUACUAUGACGAUAUGUUCAUACAAUGCCAUUUUUAAAAAUAUCUAUGCCAAAUUUAAUGAAAUAGAAUUAAAAAUGUGUGUCGCCAGGUACCAAGUAAGAAAAAAAUCAGCAUUUUUAUGUAGGGUCUUCACAUGGUAAAAUUAUUUGUGCCAAAAAUAAUAACAGAUGAAUGCAUAUUAGGCUUCAAUGUUGCUUAUACUAUGACUACUGGUUCAUACAAUGCCAUUUUUAAAAAUAUCUAUGCCAAAUUUAAUGAAAUAGACUUGAAAAUGUGUGUCGCCAGGUACCAAGUAAGAAAAAAUCAGCAUUUUUAUGUAGGGUCUUCACACGGUAAAAUUAUUUGUGCCCAAAUAAUAAUAGAUGAAUGCAUAUUAGGCUUCAAUGUUGCUUAUACUAUGACUACUGGUUCAUACGAUGCCAGUUUUAUAAAUAUCUAUGCCAAAUUUAAUGAAAUAGACUUGAAAAUGUGUGUCGCCAGGUACCAAAUAAGAAAAAAAUCAGCAUUUUUAUGUAGGAUCUUCACACGGUAAAAUUGUUUGUGCCCAAAUAAUAAUACAUGUAGAUGAAUGCAUAUUAGGCUUCAAUGUUGCUUAUACUAUGACUACUGGUUCAUACGAUGCCAUUUUUUAAAAUAUCUAUGCCAAAUUUAAUGAAAAAGACUUGAAAAUGUGUGUCGCCAGGUACCAGGUGAGAAAAAAAUCAGCAUUUUUAUGUAGGGUCUUCACACAGUAAAAUUAUUUGUGCCCAAUUAAUAAUAGAUGAAUGCAUAUUAGGCUUCAAUGUUGCUUAUACUAUGACUACUGGUUCAUACGAUGCCAAUUUUAUAAAUAUCUAUGCCAAAUUUAAUGAAAUAGACUUGAAAAUGUGUGUCGCCAGGUACCAAGUAAGAAAAAAAUCAGCAUUUUUAUGUAGGGUCUUCACACAGUAAAAUUAUUUGUGCCCAAAUAAUAAUAGAUAAAUGCAUAUAAGGCUUCAAUGCAGGGUUGGCAUAUUGACCGGUCAAUUGAGUAUUGACCGGGCCGGCGGUCAAUACCUGGUUAAAACCGGUCAAUACUGGUCAUUACUGGUCGAUUGAAAAUUGUAGCAUUUAAACAUUACAAAGGAGCCAUUUUAUAUAAAAUCAAUAAUUAUUCUGUAAUUGAUAAACUUUUUUCUGAGUUAUUUAUUUUUAAAAAAUCUUUAAAGCUGUAAAAAGUUACUUCUUAAUUAUUUAUGGAAACAGCCUCAAAUACAUAAGGACUAAGGCAAUAUCUUUAUCUCAGUGUAUCACAUCUGUUACUAAUUAGCCGGAUUUUACAUAAAUUCCAGGUUGAUAAACACAACAAGGUAAAGGUACUUUGUAGUCGGUGAGAUAUAAUAAUAAUACAGUUAGUAAGGCUCGUACCCUGGGUACGGUAAAUAUACUAAAACGUACGCGGGAAUUUUAACACUAAAUCGGUUGUUGUCGGCUAUUUUGUAAAAAUUAAUUAUGUUUACAUUUAUGUAAAUUUUCUGUUGAAUGGCAUUUAUAUUAUCAAAACUCAUUGUUAAAAUCAAUAAUGUGAUUUAAUUUUAAAUCUUAAAUUGUUUAAAGUCGCGUCAUUGUAUGACUUCGUCAAGUAUAAUAUUUUCCGCGACAUCGCACGUUCACUUUUUACCGUCAUAGAUUUUUUUAAAGAAACAUUAUUUGGUUACCAAGGUCCGUUAAAUGGGGAACACCAUAUUCGGUAUUUAUAUUAUGUUUUAACAAUUAAUUAAUGCUGUGUAAUAAAUAUUGUUUAAGAUAUUUCGAUAUUUAUUGAAAAUGUUUCAAAUUGUUAUUUAUGAAACCUCUUAUUCUAAUGAGUGUAUGCUAUUAUAUUAUACUUUGAAAAGCAUAUCUGUUGUACUAUAAUCUUAUUAUUCAUUUAUUACUGUUAAUUUCAUUUAUUGUAGAGAAUCGUCAAUGUUACAUCUAGUCGCCAAUGCUUGUUGUCAGUGUUAGUCGUAAAUGCUUGUGAUCAUUGUCGUCGAUGUUAGUCGUCAAUCCUUAUCGUCAUUAUACAUGAAGGAAAUAAAAGCAGAAACAGA
Long non-coding RNA from Dreissena polymorpha, 2385 nucleotides. RefSeq lists it as uncharacterized. The transcript is spliced from 2 exons. The record is from RefSeq and is a predicted model, not a curated record. Lineage: Eukaryota; Metazoa; Mollusca; Bivalvia; Myida; Dreissenidae.